ACCAUUGGAUCCCUCGGGUGCAAGUAUAACACAGUUAGCAUUUUAAAAGAUUGCAUUUGUCUGUACACUGCAGGCGGCAAUUAUGAGCAGGAAAAUCUUUUGUGAAAGAUGGUGUGACCUUCCUUUUGGUGAAAGAGUGAUAAUGGCUUCUUGUGGAGGUGUAUUGGGAAGAGGUGGCACAGGGUUUGCUGUACCGCCUUUCUGCCAGCUGAGCAACACAGAAACUGGCUAAUGAGCUUCAUCUAAUUUUGGAGUCAAGUUCACAGCUGCAACAGAGCAAAGAGAUUCCAGCUUGGACCAGAACCUCCAUCGCAUCUCCAUCAUGUCAAAGAACACACUCAAAGACUAUUGUGCUCCAGUUUUGCCUCUGCACUAUAGGGAAGUAUUGUUAUUGCAUUAGUGUAACACUGUACCUGAACUUGUGCUGCUGGCAUAGUUAAAAUACUCAAAAGUACAGUGUCAGGCCUUAAUUAUAAAGUCAUAAUUAUUGUUUUAAGAUUUAUACAAAAAAAUGUGCCAACUUUAUUCUACUCAGUAGGGGCUCAAUUCCAAAAACAGUAUAGAUUUCAGGAUAACCUCCAAAAAAAUGACUCCACAUAAUUGGUUGAGCCUAUAAUAUAUGUUUGUGUUGUAAAAUAAGAAUACAGCACAACUAGAGUACAAAACAUGGUACAACAGACAUGAAACAAUGUUCUUUCUCUGCAUUCUUCCCCACGUUCCUUACCAGUGAAUAUUUUAGCUCUUAGUUAAAAUACAAUUUUGGCAUGGGAUUAUUCAGUAAAAUUGCCUUUGAGAAACAGCCAAUUUUGAAAUACACUUGAGUAGGUCUAGACAGCAGGUGCUGCCAUGCUCCUGUAGGCUCCAGCAAAAAGCCAUUCUUCACUGUGUGCCUGAGAUUUGAGGGGCUGUUCAGAGGGGUUUUUUUCCCUGGGUAGUGCAAGGUCCUUAAAGAGCAUGGAUGGCAUUUUAACCUGUCAUUGGUGAGCUCUUCACAUUGAUGAAUGGGUGACUUUGUACAUUCACUGUGAAGGAAACACUGAGUUUGAGGUGACUCUGACCUAGUGUGUGAUGAGCUGCUCAGGGCUUCUGGUGUUGGAGGAGAUCAGAGACACAAGGAAAUGAGGUAGUCACACAGUCACUCAGACUUAAGACCAGCAUCCAAUCAGUACUCUGUCUUCAUAUUCUUAGUGGCCUUCUACAAGCAUGUGCUCUCUUAUUGAUAAAAUAAAUGAGCUGAAAUCAAUUUAUGUUGUUACAUUAUCAGUUAUUGUUGAGCUUUAAAAAAUAUUUGCUAUAUUUACAAAAUCCCUACAUUUUCGGCUUAUCAUUGUCCAGCAGAAGUCUCAAUAGCAAGAUGCAAAAUCAUUUUCUGUUUGUCAGUGGGAAGCCAGAGACUUGGUUAGGCUUUUGUGUUUGAGAUGUGGAAAAGGGGGAGAAAGGGAAUUCAGGAGAAUAAUAUCUGGAGUAGCAGAUACUUCUUGGCUCUCGCACCUGAAAACUUUCAUGUCAUUUAUAACCAUGUGGCAGGCUGCCUACAAACUGAAGAAGACAGUCACUGCAGCUUGUUUGAUAUAGAAUUUCCAGAAUUUUUCUUCACCACGCUCUGUUAGACAACACUGAUGCCACUGAAGUCAAUGUGACUUAGCAGUAAAAGACUGCAUAGACAGAUACUUAAUGCCUAUUUUAAAGUUAAAAGCAAAUGAGGCUUGUGCAGGCAGUCUGACUUAUAACAAGCCCUUGAGUUUAUUUAUUAAGUUUCAUGGGGAUUUUUCUAUUAGUUUUCUGAUGAUUCUGAUUUUGUAAAGAUUUUUUUUCCCCAUAAAUUCAACAAAAUCCUUGCCACUGACAUCAAUAGAAAUGAUAGUUAAACUUGCCCAAACAUAGGUUUUAUUUUUAACUUAACACAAUUUUUGUCAGGGAAGUGUUAAUCUGUUCCAGAGGAACACUGUAAUAAUCUCAGCAAGACAGAAGAUUUUAAGACAGAAGUAAUUGAAACAAAGGGAAAAAAGACAUUAAUCUUGCUGGGUGAACAUAAAUUAUUUACUUCAAUGGAUGCUUUUGUAUGCAGAGUCUUACAAAAUGAAGUAAAUUGAAAGGAAUUUAACUAAUUUUAUAAUUAUGAAGGAGCAUCUAGCUUCAAUAGCAAACAGAUGUAUAAUGUUUUAUUUUAAAAUACUGCAGAUUUUGAGACAGGCAUUCUAAGUAAAAUUCCAUUAAAAAACCCUUGAGUUUUUGCAGCAGCAAAAAGAAAAGAAGGUAUAACCCUUAGCAGACACUGAAAUUACUGCAGUUCUUAUUCAGUUAGAGGAGAAAAAUAUUUCAUCUUACAUAACUUACUAGAAAUUUGUUCUGGAAUAUUUGCAUAUUAAUUUCAUUCUUCUUCUGAAUAUAUAGUUUAACGCUUUUUUACUCCCCUAUUUAUCCAAAUUUACCAUUUUUGUAUUUCCAGUGUUCAGAAAAAGCUGUCUACAAGAACAUAUGGGUUUUGUCUUUUGCUACCUUGCAUGCAAGUACUAAUGACUAAUGACAUGCAAGUCAUUUUGAUAGUAAUAUUAAAGCAAUAAUAAUGAUUAUAUCUUAGAAUGAAAGGUGAUUGUUUUCAAAGAAAUUAACCUUAAGUACUUUAGUAUUUAAUAGGAUUACUUUUAUAAACUUUCUUUUCUAUAGAAUAAAGAUGUACAGUAGUAGUGGAAGAAGUAGUAGUACUUUGAAAAGAAAGCCAGGCACAUUUUUGUCUUUUUAUCAUUAAUUUGGUAUGGAGGCAAAAUAAAUUAGUUGACAACAAAACAAUUGUGAUCUAAAUGAAGUGCUAAUUUGGAAUCUUAAUAUACAAUAUACUUUGUCUUUUAAUUAGAUCUGUUUUCCUAAUUUAUGUAUCUAUACUUUAGAAUCAGGAAAAUAUUGUAAGUGAAAUAAAGUCUGUGUCUUACUUUUCACUUGCAGACUAGCUUUUUAUUGAGGAAUGCAGCCAGUAGAUUGUCAUAAGGAAGAGCUGUAAUGAAAAAAAUUUGGAGCAUAGAUAUCAUAGAUGUAAAUUUAUGAACUGUCUUAGCACUAAGGAAUAACAGGCUCCAAACAAAUCCCUGUAUAUUGCAAUUUCCUCUAGGGAGCCUCUCCUACAACCAUCAAAAAGCCCUUUCAGGUUGGGUGGACAGGAAUACUGUGCUAAUACCUUAAUUCUGUUGUGCAGUAAAUCACUGCUAGACCAGACACAGAGUCUAGCAGGUUGUCAUCAUGUGACAGCUGAACCAGCAAAGAUGGGAAUGAUAUAGAUCAGAGGUUUAGGCACCUGAAAGGUCAUAAAGAGUACUGGGGUGGGAACUUUACACCCUAGUUCAUGUGGACUUGGAGUAAAAACUAAGUCAGUGGUCUUGAUGUGAAACCAAGUUUGUACUGAAAAGUAUCCUAGCACACCCCCUACAAUUAAACCCACUAGAAAUGUCAUGGUUUAUUGCCCCACCUGUUGGAUUCAACUACUGCCUUUGUGAUGAUGGCAUUUGAAGCUGCAGGCUGCAAAGGGAUUAGGAAGCAGACACAUGCACACAAACACACCGCCCUGUCCUCUAUCCUCCACUUUUGCAUUUAAUACUUUUCCACCAAGAAUGGGAAACCAAUACAAGUGGUCUGGAAAACUAGGACUGGACUUACAUAUCCAAUGGCACUCCAGAGGCCAGAGGCUGAGUUUUGUCACUGCUGAUUGAUCCCAUAUAAUUAGCAUAGAUCACAAUAUAACAGGGUCAAAAAACUGUUGUGGCAUUCUUCACUUCAUGUAUACAAAAUAAGUAAAUAGGGAAAAUAAGAUUCUAGUAUUUUCUGUGCUGGAAAUAUUCUGGUCUUUUAAAGUGCACCAUCUCAAACUAAAAAUUGGUUGUUAGAACUAUGUUCUCCUAAAUGUACACAAAUCUUACCAUAUAUUCCAUAUAGAUUUGCUCUCACAUGCCAAAAAUGAGAACCUGUGCUUUCAAAAAGAAAAAAAUAAAACAGAAAUGUGCCUGAUUUUAUCUAAUGUCCUUUUAAAAACAGACCUAAAAAUAAGAAUGUGUAAAGCAGCCUGGGAAACCCAGUUUUAAAUAGGCAUGCAUGUUGAAAUUCAGAAAGGAUAUGGUUCUUAAGUUGCCUUUUUUACUUUGUCCCUGCUGGUGUAGCUGAUUGGGAUAAACUCUUAACAUAGGUAAGAACAGAUCUCAAGAUGAUAUGAAAUAGCUUCUGUCAAAGAGUUAGCUGGGUGUCACCGAGACACAAUAAAACCCUACUAAUUUAAAUUUCUUCCCAUAGAGUAGUCCUAGGAUGUCAUAUUUUGUAGGUUUUUGUGAUCUGUUUCCUUUUCUUUUCUUCCUGGCAAAGUGGCAUUUCCAGAGAAAAUAGCUUGCUCAUGAGCCUGCUCUCAAGAAUCCGUUAGAUCUAAUGGUAAUGAGGCCUCGAACCUGCACAAGGUGUUGGCUUUUCCUUACCUACAGUCUGAGUGAGGACGGUAUAAUACAAUGAAAACUAAACGGACCUGUUCAUGUUUUUAAGUCCAAUUUGCUGAUGAAGGGCAUGUUGAGGGUGAUGGCUGGAGUAAUAAAAUGGAAGAUUGGCAUCACGAUUUUCUUACACUGCCAUCUCUCUUGCAGAAAUUCUCCAUUUGCCCAUUGUUGACAGAUCUCUAAUGUGUUGCAGGACAACAAAUGUAUAUGUAAUAGAAGUGUUAGUUAAUGGGAAUGACCUGUACAGUUCCAAUUUUGAAUGAUAGUCUCCACUUCCUUUAUGCUUAUUUUAAAAUUCCCUGGACACAGAUUGAUUAAAGGCAAGGACCCAUAUGAAUUUAUGAAAAAUUUAUGGAAUUUUGAAAGAACCUUAACAUGGACCAUUUAAAAACUAAUAAUUUCCUGGCUGUCAUUAUUUUCUUUUCCUUUCUUUGCAUCACUAAAUCUUUCUUACAUUGGGAAUACAUGCUUAAUAAUCAAAAAUUGAUGCUGUGAAUUAAAGAAUAAAUAUGUCACUGGAUAAAAUAAAACAACAACAACAACAGAAAAUAAAUUAGAUUUGUAUGAUUUUAACUGUUCUUUAAUCUGCUUCUGGGCAACAAAAGUGAUUUGUGUCAGCCUUUAUUGCAUUAAACUUUAAUUUUCUUCCACAAGAACAGGAUUAUAUAAAGGAGUAUUGGAUUGCACUCAGCAUGGAUUAGCU
This is a long non-coding RNA of Cyanistes caeruleus (blue tit), 5169 nucleotides long. RefSeq lists it as uncharacterized. The record is from RefSeq and is a predicted model, not a curated record. Lineage: Eukaryota; Metazoa; Chordata; Aves; Passeriformes; Paridae.